UUUUAUGUGACUCUUCUGAUGAUAUUCCAUGCACCACUCUUAAUCUUUUGGUGUUGAUUAUGGAUUGCUGAAUUAUU
Drosophila rhopaloa is the source of this 77-nucleotide small nucleolar RNA. RefSeq annotates it as small nucleolar RNA Me18S-Gm1358. The transcript has a single exon. The record is from RefSeq and is a predicted model, not a curated record. Lineage: Eukaryota; Metazoa; Arthropoda; Insecta; Diptera; Drosophilidae.